RNAcentral lists this ribosomal RNA (59 nucleotides) under uncultured fungus. RNAcentral describes it as "partial 28S ribosomal RNA". It matches the Rfam family "Eukaryotic large subunit ribosomal RNA", at positions 1 to 58 of the family's 3401-position model. The record is from RNAcentral. Lineage: Eukaryota; Fungi.
UAGAUCUCAAAUCAGGCAGGAUUACCCGCUGAACUUAAGCAUAUCAAUAAGCGGAGGAA